RNAcentral lists this ribosomal RNA (497 nucleotides) under uncultured bacterium. RNAcentral describes it as "partial 16S ribosomal RNA". It matches the Rfam family "Bacterial small subunit ribosomal RNA", at positions 28 to 507 of the family's 1533-position model. The record is from RNAcentral.
GAUGAACGCUGGCGGCGUGCCUAAUACAUGCAAGUCGAGCGGACGGACGCGGCGCUUGCUUCUCUGACGUUAGCGGCGGGCGGGAGAGUAACACGUGGAUCACCUCCCUGUCAUACUGGGAUAACUUCGGGACACCGGCGCUAAUCCCGGAUAAUAUCUUGAACCGCAUUGGUCAAAAGUGAAAUACGGUGUUGCUGUCACUUAUAGCUGGAUCCGCGCUGCAUUAGCUGGUUGGGAAGGUAACGGCUUACCAAGGCAACGAUGCAUAGCCGAGCUGAGAGGGUGAUCGGCCACACUGGAACUGAGACACGGUCCAGACUCCUACGGGAGGCAGCAGUAGGGAAUCUUCCGCAAUGGGCGAAAGCCUGACGGAGCAACGCCGCGUGAGUGAUGAAGGUCCUCGGAUCGUAAAACUCUGUUAUUAGGGAAGAACAUAUGUGUAAGUAACUGUGCACAUCUUGACGGUACCUAAUCAGAAAGCCACGGCUAACUACGUG